RNAcentral lists this ribosomal RNA (253 nucleotides) under uncultured bacterium. Its description in RNAcentral is "partial 16S ribosomal RNA". It matches the Rfam family "Bacterial small subunit ribosomal RNA", at positions 524 to 776 of the family's 1533-position model. The record is from RNAcentral.
UACGUACCGGACAAACGUUAUUCGGAAUCACUGGGCUUAAAGAGUUCGUAGGCGGCCUUGCAGGUGAGGUGUGAAAUCCCACGGCUCAACCGUGGAAUUGCGCUUCAAACCGCAGGGCUUGAGGGAGACAGGGGUGAGUGGAACUGAUGGUGGAGCGGUGAAAUGCGUUGAUAUCAUCAGGAACACCAGUGGCGAAGGCGACUCACUGGGUCUCUUCUGACGCUGAGGAACGAAAGCUAGGGGAGCAAACGGG